GGUGAGAGAAAUUCCCUGGCUUGUUUCCCCUGCUGUCUGUAUAUCAUCCUAGCAGCCGGAGUAGCAGUUUGCUUUGAUUUGGGAGUCCAUUACACCAUGAUAAUAUGAUUGCUUCAAGGAACAUGUUCUGAACAAGAGUAAGGGAUUUAAGAAACUGAAGACAGAAAGUAUCCACAGAAUCAUGGAGAAGCAUGUGGAAUACAAACACAGGAAGGAGACAAGAAGAUCUGGAUAACGGUAAAGCAAUGCAUAUGGGAAGUCUGCUUGAGAAGAACAAACACAAAUGCCAAAAAUAAUUCACUAGCUACAUUUAGUUAGAAGAUCUGGAGAGCAAACAUAAGCAUCCUAAACAAAUGAAGUAGGUUAGCCAGAGUGUCUGCCGGCCCCAGGGUCACAUACUGCUGCUCUAACUGCCAGCAGUGUCCAUGUGGAAUGGGGAGCUUUCCAAAUUCUGGCCAGAACUGACUGUGUAGAGAAUACUGUCAGUUCUCUUGCCUUUCUUAUUAAAUGUAUACUGCAAUGCAAAGCCAUGUCAGAAAAAACUGAGCUCAUGUGUCUGCAAAGCAAGUGCUAUGAUAUGCAGAAUUGCUUGUUUAUGGUCUAGAAGCAAAACAGUAGUGUUAGUCUGCUCCUGUACAUGAACAUAUUUUCACAUCAUCGAAAUUUUAAUUUUAUUUUAAAUGAAUACAUAUUUUUCCUUUAAGCAUAUAGAAAGGGUGCUAAAACAGGCUUAUGAGGUAUCCUUA
Oxyura jamaicensis (ruddy duck) is the source of this 746-nucleotide long non-coding RNA. RefSeq lists it as uncharacterized. Lineage: Eukaryota; Metazoa; Chordata; Aves; Anseriformes; Anatidae. The transcript has 2 exons. The record is from RefSeq and is a predicted model, not a curated record.